This is an RNA transcript of Monodelphis domestica (gray short-tailed opossum), 3838 nucleotides long. It is a transcript of the gene named tRNA-splicing ligase complex subunit ASW pseudogene, with no coding region annotated. NCBI's taxonomy places the organism in Eukaryota, Metazoa, Chordata, Mammalia, Didelphimorphia, Didelphidae. The record is from RefSeq and is a predicted model, not a curated record.
UUUGUUCUUCCUUUCUCUUCCCUUUCCUCCUUUCCUUCAUUCUUUUCUUUCCUCCUCCCUCCCUCCCUCUCUUCCCUUCUUUCUUAUCUCCCUUCCCGUUCUCUCUACUUCCUCCCUCCUUCCUUUUCCUCCUUCCUUUCCUAUCUCCCUCCCUCUCUUCCCUCCUUUCUUAUCUCCCUUCCUUCCUCUCUUUUCUCUUCUUUCUUUCCUUUCUCUUCCCUCCCUCCCCUUCCCUUCCUUCAUUCCUCCUUUCUUUUUUCUCCUUCCUUCGUUCUGUCCUUCCCUCUCUUCUUCCCUUCCUUUCUCUGCCCUCCAUUCCUUCCUUUUUGCUCCAUCCUUCCCUCCCUCCCUUCUUCCCCUCCUUCCUCUUCCUUCCCUCACUCCUUUCCUUUCUUUUUUCUCCUUCCUUCGUUCUGUCCUUCCCUCUCUUCUUCCCUUCUUUUCUCUGCCCUCCAUUCCUUCCUUUUUGCUCCUUCCUUCCCUCCCUCACUUCUUUCCUUCCCUCCUCUUCCCCCUAAAUCCUCCAUUCCCUUCUUCCUUUUUGCACCUUCCUUCUUUUCCUCCUUUCCUUCCUUCCUUUCUUUUCUCCCUCCCUUUUUCCAUUUCUUCCCCUUCUUCCUUCCUCUAUUUCUUCCUCCCUUCCUCCUUCCCUCUCUUCCUCCCUUCUUCCCCUUGAGUAUAUCUAGGGAAUGGAGCUAAAGCUCAAACAAGAUCACAUUUGGUGGCCUUUGGAGUUCUCAGUACCAGAGUAAUUGCAGCCAUAACGUGGACGGGACCUCAGUGGUGCUUAAAAACAGUCAUUGAACAGAGACAGAUUAGUUUGCUCCAAUUUGGGAAACCAGCUAAUCAAAUUUCUCAGGAAGACCAUACUUGAGACAGGAACCUUGACAGCAUUCAAAGGUUUAUGCAAAUAGCAUCAAUAAUAUUGAUCUCCAUCAUAUACCUGGACAACUAGCCAUACCGGUGAUACUUCUACUGUGGCUUUUCCUUUGUGUGCCUUUACUAGAUAUCUUGUGGCACAAUGACGAGUGAACUAGGAACCUCUGAAAGUCAGGUAAACAAGGCAAGUGAAGACGGUCUUCCCAAGAAUGAAACAGUUACAUUGGGGGAGGCCAGCCAGGCUCCUCCAGAGAUGACCACCAAGGGGACUCUAGUAGAUCAUUCCUACGUAGACACCCAUAUGCUCCUUCACCCAGAGCUGCUCUCUCGGGAGUUCCUGCUGCUCACACUGCAGGAAAAAAAUAUAAUUGGUAAAGAGGAAAUAAAGACCAGCAAAAAUGACCUUAUUGCUCUCUAUAACCGCCAUGCAUUGCCAUUGCCUCAAAGGCAAUUACCAAAAAGUAGAUGGGGCAAAGUAGUUGAAGAGAAAAGAGAAGUGAAAAAUGAAUUGAAAAAUGAGCAAAAAAGUGAUGUGAGUGUGGCAGCUUCAAGGAAAAGACCCCGCAUAGUCUUUGAUGGCAAUUCCACAAGUACGAGGAUAAAAGUAAGAAGGACAGAAAAGGCAGCUAAUGAUGGCUCACAACCUCCUCCAUCAGCUGGCUUUACUAACAGUACCAUUAUCAAGUUACCAAAUUCAAAAGCUUCCUCUGUACCUUCCACUUUGCCUACAGGCCUUAAAGUGAACCCCCCAAAUGACACUAAACAGAGCCCUGUGUUAAUGGAUAGUAGUACAGUGGCCAAUGUAAAAUCACAACCUUUGUCUCAUGUUGAGGAAACUUCUGUUGUGAAAUUAAAGAGAAUUGUUCCAAGAGAAGACGCAAAGUCAGUGAACGAAUUCAAGUCCUCAGGAACAAAGAAAAAGAUCCAACGUAUUACAUGGCCAUGAAUGAAAGGGGUUAGAUCUUGAAAGAUUUAAAACAGCCCUUUCCAAAAUUUACUUUCCCCUUGACCAUUUGUUUUCCUUUUUGAUCCUUACCUCUAAUGUACUGGUAGUCAAAUAGUUAAAAAUCAGCCUUUUUUUAAAAACUAAAAGUCCUGCUCUAUGUCAUUAAUUACCUUGGCCAAAUGGCUGUUUGCAAUAUGAUAUAUAUAAAGUUUUCUGAUUCGGCACAGAAAUAAUUUUCCCCAGACAUCUUCAGGAAAAGGGACAAUUUUCCAAAUUUUUGUUCAUGUCUCACUCUUUGACAUAGCCAGUUUGAUGGUUCUCCUCCUCAUCAUAUAGAUGGAUCGGCCAGUAUUACUAAAUGAAUUCCCUAGACAGCACUAAGGAAAGUGCGUUCAUAGCAAGGUUCUGAAAUAAUCCGAACUUGCCCGUAAACUGCUGUCACUUUGAUGGUUUCCUUUAGCCACAGGUAAUAAGAGUUUUCAUUGAUGGCAACCUGCUUUAGUUAUGAAUUUAUUGGGUAGAAGGUGUUGAAUUUAAAGUCUGCCUACCUGUGGGAUCUUGCAUGUCAUAGUUUGAUCUACUGUUAUGAUAAUUUGAGGUUCAAGAAGUUUAGAACCAUAAAAAAUGAUCAACUCACUGUAUUUAACCUAAAGGUCCAUUCAAAUAGUCACAGCUGUUCACAGUCUGUGCUGCUACUACUACAGGCAACCCUAAGAGAUAUUGUCUGUACUCCUAAGGAAGAAAAAGAGUUUUAUUGGUUGGAUGUAUAGAGACAAGGGAAAAUGGUCUGGAAUGGCAGAAGCAGAUUCUAGAGCUAGAAGAUAGCUACAAAGGAAAUAGCUGCCUGCUGGUAUAUUGUAAUGGCCUGCCAUGUGAAUGACCAUUAUUUGUUGUUUCAGCAUUUUUAAAUUUAUGUCCCCCUUUGGGGUUGUCUUGGCAGAAACAACAGAAUAGUCUACCAUUUCCUUCCCCAACUUAUUUCAAAGAUGAGGAACUGAAGCAAACAGGGUUAAGUGACUUGCCCAGGGUCACACAAAGGAAGAUGAGUCUUCCUGAUUCCAGGCCCAGAACUCUGUCCAUUGAGUCAUUUAGCUACCCCACCCACUCAUCCAGCACCCAUCAUCUUAACUCUUAAAUCACUAAAACAUUGAACUUAUGAAAUAAUUUGUUUUAGUGGACUUGCAUCUCUGAUUUUACACGAAUGUGCUUUAUGUGGAACUUUUCUUGGGGACGUUACUUAUAUAAAGGGCUUGUAUGGUUCACCUCCAACCUGGGGUGGGAUUUUUCCAAUACUUUGUAGAGAAGGACCUUCCUUUGCUUUUGGAUGCUAAACUCAUUUGCUCGAGUUUAGUUCUUGACUAGUCUUUCAAACUGUUGUUUAGCUUUGUGGAUAAAUACUUGAAAUUCCAGCCCGUGAUUUUUUAAACCAUCAGAUGCCUUUAACUCAGGUUGUAUAUUCUGUAUAAUAAAAUAUAGCCUAGCUAUGGAUGCUUCUCGGAUAGAUGGUCAUUUGCUGGCCUGAUUGGGCUGAACUUGGGAAGCAAGUUCCAAGGGCACAAAUUUAUGUUUGAAGAUUUGCACAGUUGCAAACUUGGAGUAGUCCAAUAGUUCACAGUUUUCAUUCAUUGGUCACACUGGCCUUUCAUGGCCGUUUUUUCUCUCUUAAGUGAAAAGUAUUCUACUGGCAAUACUUAGUCCUCACCACUCUUCUGCCUUAGAACUGAUAUGCAUUUUAAGACAAACGUUAAAAAAAAAGUUUACAUUAAGUCAAAAUACCAGUCGAUUGUCAUAAAUGUAUGUUAGCUUCCCUUCUCCACUAUUGUAAAUUUUUUUUACAUUUCAAUGCUGUCAAAAUGUUAUUUUUUUAAAAGUGCUCUUUUAGUAAACACUUGCAGGUUUUAUACUUCAGUGCAAACAAGUUUAAUAUUGUAAUGUGCAUUUUUGUAUGUAAAGAUUCUUUGAAAUACCCUCAUUCUUAUUUGAAUAAAAUGAAUUCAAUUCUAAGAAGUAAAA